Molecule: long non-coding RNA, 516 nt
Organism: Lycium barbarum (goji berry)
Lineage: Eukaryota; Viridiplantae; Streptophyta; Magnoliopsida; Solanales; Solanaceae
Exons: 3
Source: RefSeq, a predicted model, not a curated record
UUCUGGAAAGAGAGAGAGAGGAGCUUUGGAGAGAAGAAAAACUAAUUUUGACCAAAAUCCGAGCCCCGAAUCCCGAAGCCCAUGAAGGGAAAAGUGUUGUACGCUGCGUUGUCUUCAAUUUGAACUAAAAAUCAACCAAGGAGGAGGGUCAUAACGUGGUGGCUGAAUUCUUAAGAUUUUGGGCGAAACGGGAAUUGAAUUUGGAAAGGCGUAAAGAGCAUACAAGGUACAAACGACAGGUUUGCUGAUCCGCCCGCUUAGGACUUUAUUCUGCUAUUUUGGAGCGCUCCUUUAUCCGGAGCCCAUAUUUUGGUACAGUCUUCUGCUAUCGUAUAUAUGUACAUUAUUCAGGGGUACGACGGGGCCCUGUCCCGUCUUAUGAUUCUGUUAUGUUCUGUAGAGGUCUGUAGACAUACUUGUGUGGGUUCUGUAUAUGUUUUGGAUGAUAUGAUCUGUGACAGCCUUAUCGGCUUCCAUGUACUAUGUCGGUUCAUUUAUGAUAAUUACUAACGCCAA